This 1253-nucleotide long non-coding RNA is filed under the name Oreochromis niloticus (Nile tilapia). RNAcentral's name for it is "lncRNA (ENSONIG00000033098.1)". The record is from RNAcentral. Lineage: Eukaryota; Metazoa; Chordata; Actinopteri; Cichliformes; Cichlidae.
AGUUGAGUAAACUAAGAUUUGGGGGGAUUACAGAGUUGCUGGAGGGAGUAACAUGCAGUCCUGUCUGGAAACCUUCAGCUGGUAGGUUUCAUAUUAUUCGCACACGCUUUUCGCUACAUCUGCCGUCCGACACACAUCACAGUACAUCACAGUGUCCUCGGAGGUACAGCUGUGUCGACUGAUAAGAGACUCUUGAAGCUCCACCUCCGAGUGAUCUGAAAAUACUAUGAGCCAAAUUAUCUCUUCUUGUGCAUCCUCCUCCCAACUGGAAGCUCAGACUUGCUCACAGCUGCUUUUCCUGCACAUUGAAGGACAUUGCAUUGACAUAAUGAAAAGGAAUUGUUUGACAGCGCUCACUGGACGGACCAAUACUCAGAUCAAUGAGAAAGUCCAAGGAACUCGGUGAAGGUCUAAGGAGAGUUGUAGAUUUACUCAAGUUGGGAAGCUCUCUGAGCCAUAUCUAAACAACUUCAGAUUCCAGGAUCAACAGUUCAGAGUUAUUGAGAUGUCUCACCAUUUUGCUGGGGUCUGGAAGAAAACACAAACUGUCGCCCUCAGAUGAGAGGAAAUUUAUUAGGAUACUCAGGAGCAACUCAAGAACCACAAAGCCUGUCACGAACUGGAAACUGCUGGAACACCAGUGUCACUGUCCACAGUAAAGUGAGUUUACAUCAUUAAGGACUGAUAGGGCGCCGACCAAGAAAGAAACCAUCCAUUCAUCUUCUUCCACUUACCUGGGGCCAGGAUAAUGGGGCAGCAGCCUAAGCAGAGAAGCCCAGACCUCCCUCUCCCUAGCCACCUCCUCCAGCUUGUCUGGGGAACACCAAGCCUCCCCCAGGCCAGCCAAGAGUUAUAAUCUCUCCUGGGUCUGCCCCAGGGCCUCAUCCCUGGGACAUGCCCGGAACACUUCACCCAGGAGGCACCCAGGAGGCAUCCUUGUCAGAUGCCUGAACCACCUCAAAUGGCUCCUUUCAAUGUGGAGGAGAAGACGGCUCUACUAUGAGCCCCCCUCGGAUGGCUGAACUAUCUCUAAGAGAGAGGCCAGCCACCCUUUGGAGAAAGCUCAUUUCUGCCGCUUAUAUCUGCGAUCUCAUUCUUUCGGUCACCACCCAAAGUACGUGACCAUAGGUGAGGGUGAAGAUAUAGAUCAACUGGCUUCACUUUUACGCUCAGCUCUCUCUUCACCACAACAGACCGGUGCAGCGUCCUAGUGUCCAUAGCACCAAUCUGUCUGUCGAAUUCCCACUUUCCUC